UCCAUUGUGGUGUAAUGGUAACAUAUCCGCCUCUCAAGAGGGAUCUCCUCUGAGUCCGCGGUUGCCCAGGGUUCGAUUCCCUGCAAUGGAG
This is a non-coding RNA of Mollisiaceae sp. DMI_Dod_QoI, 91 nucleotides long. Lineage: Eukaryota; Fungi; Ascomycota; Leotiomycetes; Helotiales; Mollisiaceae. The record is from the annotation of a GenBank genome assembly.